RNAcentral lists this transfer RNA (65 nucleotides) under Zoodes fulguratus. RNAcentral's name for it is "tRNA-Leu". The record is from RNAcentral. Lineage: Eukaryota; Metazoa; Arthropoda; Insecta; Coleoptera; Cerambycidae.
UCUAAUAUGGCAGAAUAGUGCAACGGAAUUAAGACCCGUGUAUAAAGUUAAUCCUUUUUUUAGAA